RNAcentral lists this ribosomal RNA (976 nucleotides) under uncultured bacterium. RNAcentral describes it as "bacterial SSU rRNA". It matches the Rfam family "Bacterial small subunit ribosomal RNA", at positions 340 to 1334 of the family's 1533-position model. The record is from RNAcentral.
UACGGGAGGCAGCAGUGGGGAAUCUUGCACAAUGGGGGCAACCCUGAUGCAGCGACGCCGCGUGAGCGAUGAAGCCCUUCGGGGUGUAAAGCUCUUUCGGCAGGGACGAUAAUGACGGUACCUGCAGAAGCAGCUGCGGCUAACUACGUGCCAGCAGCCGCGGUAAUACGUAGGCAGCGAGCGUUGUUCGGAGUUACUGGGCGUAAAGGGUGUGUAGGCGGUUUUCUAAGUUUGGUGUGAAAUCUCCCGGCUUAACCGGGAGGGUGCGCCGAAAACUGGGAGACUAGAGUGCGGGAUGGGAGAGUAGAAUUCCUGGUGUAGCGGUGAAAUGCGUAGAUAUCAGGAGGAAUACCGGUGGUGCAGACGGCUCUCUGGACCGCAACUGACGCUGAGACACGAAAGCGUGGGUAGCAAACAGGAUUAGAUACCCUGGUAGUCCACGCCCUAAACGAUGCAUAUUUGGUGUAGGUCAUUCAGUUGAUCUGUGCCGGAGCUAACGCGUUAAAUAUGCCGCCUGGGGAGUACAGUCGCAAGGCUGAAACUCAAAGGAAUUGACGGGGGCCCGCACAAGCGGUGGAGCAUGUGGUUCAAUUCGACGCAACGCGAAGAACCUUACCUGGGCUCGAACGGCUGGUCAACGGCAUUGGAAACAGUGCUACUCCGCAAGGAGGUCCAGUCGAGGUGCUGCAUGGCUGUCGUCAGCUCGUGUCGUGAGAUGUUGGGUUAAGUCCCGCAACGAGCGCAACCCUUGUCCUGUGUUGCCAUUCCGUAAGGAGGGACUCGCAGGAGACCGCCAGCGAUAAGUUGGAGGAAGGUGGGGAUGACGUCAAGUCCUCAUGGCCUUUAUGUCCAGGGCUACACACGUGCUACAAUGGCCGGUACAAUGCGCAGCUAAGCCGCGAGGUGGAGCCAAUCGCAAAAAACCGGUCUCAGUUCGGAUUGCAGGCUGCAACUCGCCUGCAUGAAGUUGGAAUCG